Molecule: long non-coding RNA, 9495 nt
Organism: Falco peregrinus (peregrine falcon)
Lineage: Eukaryota; Metazoa; Chordata; Aves; Falconiformes; Falconidae
Exons: 2
Source: RefSeq, a predicted model, not a curated record
GAAUAAAGUACAUUUAUAAAGCUGCAAGUUUGACAUGAGUACUUUGAGGCUUUUAGCCAAACAGCCUUUGUCCCAAAGGCAGAUUCCAGGUUGGUCUGCCAAAACCUGCUGGUGGUCCUCUCUGGAAGAGAAUGCCUGUAGCUCUGCGCUGCCCUCUCUGCUCCCUGGUAGAGGAAUCCCCUGCUGGAAGGAUGGGAUGGCCCUGGGGUGUACGGAGCCCACGGGGGCUGGUCCCUCCUGGGACCAGGGUGCCCCUGGCCAUCCUUCCUGCCUCUUACCGGCCUCCCCUCCUCCUGCAUGGCCACUGCCAAGGGUCCCCAUUCCCACAGUGGCUCCAGGCUUGCGCCAGGCUCCUCCGUUCACACAUACCAGCUUGCAUCCAUGGCUUAGGCAACUUAGUUCACGUGAAAUAAAAUGGAAAAGGUGCCUACCUUCACAGAUAACACCCACGUCUUCCUUGUGGCAGCAGUUGUGAGUGCCCAGCCCCCUGUGAGAGCACUGCUCCAGGGAGGACUCGUCCCCUCUGCACAUCACCUCAUCCAGGAUAAUAUCUCCUGUGCCUUCCCCAAAAAAGGCAUCAGUUUUGGCUGAGACAGCAUCUCCGCAUCCGAGCUGCCUGCACACAACCGCGGCGUCCUUCAUGUCCCAGCCAUCAUCGCAGACGGUUGCCCAGCUCCCGUUGUGAAAGACUUCGAGGCGUCCCGAGCACGUGUCCCCUCCGUUCACCAGUCGGAGGGACAUGUCUUGGAAAAGCAGAGGGAAAUGCGUGGGCACUCGGCAGCCUCAGAAAUGGACUUUCCAGGUGCGUUUAUCAAACAGCAAAAGCCAACUUUGUUGUGUUGCACAGAAAGUGGCAAAAAUCUUAUUGUAACAAGCCACAUUGUGUCAGCUCAUCAGCUAUCAUAAAUGCCUAUUCUCAUAGUGUGCCGUAUACACCUGGGAGUAAAUGUAAAGAUUUUUUUUCUCUUUCAGGCUCUGAUAUGUGUGUCCAUAGCUAACAUUACCAUUCCUAUUGAUAGCAGUAUUUAACAGCAAAACUCAGAUAAACCUCAAGUAUCUCGGAAACUCAUCUUGCAUGCAUUUACUUGCUUUUAAAUUUUUACCUUCCUACCAGUGCUUAAGUUACUGCAUAAAAUAUAUCAGCUGUGAAAGCUUUGCAAGACCCAUCUAGGAAGAGCUCAACAGCUGGAACAGGCUCUGUUAUAGUCAGGGUAGUAACUGGCUCUAGGAAAGAAAACAGAAAAGUUUUACUGCAAAGGAUGCUUAAUAAUGUUCUUCAGUUACUAUGUGGGGGAAAAAAAAAGCAGUAGUGAUACAGAGCAACCCGUUUGAGAAGAAUCGAAUCAUCGCCAAAAGGGAGAAGGCUGCAAACUCUUUUUUACAUGUCAGGUGUUAAUGGUUGCGGUUACCUUGCAGAUGUGAUCUGUAAUUGUUAUAGGUAGGGACAUACACAACAAAGAGACACGUCUCUGCUUGGGUCAUGUUUUGACUCCACUCGAGGUCUUUACUAAAAAUCUAACCCUAUUAAAAAUUUGCUUUGAUUUUUCCCCCAGGGAAAGAUAUUCCCAGGAUAAGCUGUAAAUCAGCAUUCUUUGUGCCAGGUCUGAUCCACAACCCCUUUCACCCAGUUACGUUUCAUGCUUGUAGCGUGCCCACCACGUGGGCGAGCUUUGCCCGUGGGCCACCACUCGCCAUGCCAUGGCACCAGCUGCACGGAUGCUGCAGUGACUCAGGGCUCUCCAACUGUACAUGUGUUUCCAGCCAGAAUAUAGAAUUGCUGGAAAUCUGGGACUUUAUUUGGAAAAAUCCUAAAGGAAGUUACUAAUUUCCUACUAAAUAUAAGAAAAGGGAUUCUGAUUUACUAGUCAUAGUUGAUAAUUUAUGGGAAGUCAGGACUAGGAGGACUGAGAUCGAACAGGGAUGAUGUAAAAUGAUGAUUUAAAUAGUGAUGCAUAAAGCAGGUUUUCUACCUUUUCUUUACCAUCAUUUUCAUCUAUACCAUAGUGCUAAAGGAUGAAUACAAAUACCCAGAGCCAACCUUUCCCUGGGAUACCUUGCAAUCUAAGGGAUACGGUUUGGUGUUUGGUUUUUUCCCUUCCUUUAAAUAAUGCCUGGUCCAGCUCCUUUUCCCAUCCUUGCUCACCCUCUGGAGUAACAGAUGGUUGGCACAGCAUCAUUUCCCCAGAAUAGUAGCAGAGCUAUUUCUACAGACCAGGCUCAUUUCUGAGAGCUGGGUACUUACAGAAUACUCCACACAUUUAUCUCACUUUCAGAGGGAAAGGCUUUUAGAGAUCUGAAGUUCCAAAUUAGUUUUAUGGGCCUGGAGUGUGUUUUUCUUUCAGAGAAAGAAAUCAGAGACGCCGCCAACAACAUAAUUGAGUUCCUCCUAGUUUGUGGCCAUCAUAAACUGUACCAAGUAUACACACCUGUCUUACUCCUUGGUGGGUCAGUAAUUACGAGGUUUUCAUUUCAAGACAUUUUACUGUCACCUGGCAGCCAUUUGUAAUCAACUAAUGCACAUCCAUUCAGAAUGAGGGCCGUGUUUCCUAGGACUCUCUUUCUUCUUAAUUACUUUUCUCUGACCAUGAUCAAAGCUCCUUCUAUAUCCAAGUACCACGCUUGUCAUUUACUUCUGCAAAAGUUGGCUGUAAAGAAAUGCCAGCAGCAACGUGCUUGGCUCACUUCCCAAGAUCUAGGUCUAAACUUCUACAAGACUGCCAAAUAUGAUUUCAAGGAGGGAAAAAAAAUAUCAUUGAGACACAAGGUAAUUAGUCUGUUGAUCCAGGCAUUGAGUAUUCACCAGCGAUAGUGAAAGGUGUUAAAUAAAAAGUUUAGGAACUGGACUACGCCAGCUAUCUAAAUCCAGGUAGGAAUAGUGAGAAAGACGCAGAUUGAAAAUCCUAGAUCCAGAUCUUGACCUAAAUUAGUCAGAAAUAAAUCAGUUGUGAUUCAUCUGAUAUAAAAGUGUUUUUACUGGGAGGGAGGCAUCUCUCCUACAAAAGUUUCUAAGUAAAUUAAGUAUUUAAUUAAUCUGAAAUAUGAGCAUCAAUUUGAAUUUUUUGGGGCACUUUUUCAGAAAAUAAAAGAUUGAUUAAGUAACAGUCCCAAGAAUCUUUAAUAUGCUCUUGUGGGGAUGUCUGAAAGCUGAAAGGUAACUUUUUACUUUAGCAAGUCAUUAAAAGAAAAGAAUCGAUAUUUAUCUCUUCAAAGUCAAUGCUUUCUGCUUAGUGAAGUGUAGAAUAUAAUCAAAGGAGUCAGUGAGCACUUAGUUUUCCUGAGACUUUAACACAAACAACAGUUUACCUGCCGUAUGUAGAAAUGAAAGUAAUGAGACGAUUAGUUAGAGCUAUAGAGGAGCCUUUUUCCCCUUUAACUGCUGAACAACAUCCCUGUUACACACAGUAUACGUAAAUAAGAUGAAAUUGUUUGCUCAGAAGCUUAGUUGAGCAGGCAUAGGCAAAGCACUUAAUAGUUGCAAGCACAUAUUUCCAUAGUAAUUCUUAGGAAACCGUAUCUACACCAUGUAUUAGGUUAUUUAAGCCUGCAGAGUAGUCAGCUCAUCCAUCACUCGUUUGAGGAAUUCACAGUCAACUUCUGAAUGUCAAGCAAAUAAAAGUGAAUCUUGAGGGACCACAUUAAUUUCUUAGUUUCAUGGGUGCGUGCAAAGAAGUGCAAACUCCUUUCAUUCAGCUGGAGUAGAGCCCAGUCUGAACCAGUAAGGCAAGCAGCAAAACCUGAUCAAAGCUCUGCCAAAUAUUCUUCCAAGUAGGGAAAGUUUUCAUUUCUGUCCUUUUGGAAGUGAAAUGACUGGCAGGAAAAAGGUAGAGAAACAGUGACUAAAAUGUUUUUGCUGUGCUGAAGAUUAGUCUGUUCAUUUCCAAGACAUUUGUAGAAAUUAGGGUGGAUAGAUCCUAGAUCUGAACAUGAAAAUAUUGUUUGCAAUAGUGGGUGGAGCUGCUAGCAAGUCUGUACUACACUUUGUAGUGCUGCUACCACUGGUACAGAGUCACAGCUCGGAACUUCUGACAGCAUAGAUAAGGCUGUAGAAGACAAGCAGUGUUAAAAAAAGGUGGUAAAGAGAGGAAUUAUUGGUUGCCUUGGUAAUUGCUUAUCAUUUUGUGCAGCAUCUUGGACUAACAGAUGGUAUGGGUGUAAAACAGCAGCACUGCCACCACCCGUAAUGAGAACCUCAGCCCUUGCCACCAAAACUGGUACAGUGCAGACAGAGUGGCAGGAGGAAAGGCAAGUUCUGUGCACUGUCUGGAGGGCACGAUCAGAAUUCAAAAUGAUCUACAUAAACUGAAUAAACGUCAGAAAUCAGCAAGCUGGAAUUCAAUAAAGACAGGUGGAAUGGGCUGCUCAUUGGAAAGAGAAAAAACAAUGCACAAAGGCAAAAUCAUCCUUUCAGCUGGCACAGGACCAUGGAAAAAACAUGUCCAGCCAGUCCAGUGUUGGGCUCGCUCUUGGGGUGGAAUGUGGGAGCUACUUUCUUGCCCUGGCUAAGGAGACCUCAGCUGCUCGGUCAAUGAUUGCACAUUUGGGGAAGAUAGAGGUAAUGGGAGAGUUUGGGUGAACGAAUCAAGAAUAUAAUAGGCUUGAAAAUCACGAGCUCCGAGGAAAGCUUUAAAGAAUUGCAUUUGUUUUAUGUGGGAAGUGUCUUUCACUGUUCUGAAGAAGGCUUUGGAAGAGGAUGGUCAGCAGUGACCCUGCUCACCAGAGUCCACAGAGAGCUAGAAGAGCAACUGUAGGCACUACAGAAAACGUCUGUCGAUGAAAGAACUUUGAAUAUAGCGUCCAAUGCUUUUUUUUUUGGGUGUGUCUUGAAAGCACCUGUCAAGUUCAGAGGCAAAGUACAACAGUCAUCUCCCCUGGUGGAGCUUUGCAUAGGAGUUUAAAGCUCACCGAUGCUAUCAAUUUUUGCUUCAUUAGAAGAGGAGGUAGGACAGCAUGUGGUGGGUAGGAAGGUCCCAGCUCAGCUGAUGGCUGAUGCAAAAUGGCCCUGUCUGGUGAAAUUCUGGUUUUAAGAUUUUUCAGUAUGUAAGGAAUUUAAUAGAUUCACUACAACUGCUCAUUCAUUAAAAACUUGCAAAAUGUAUUAUAAAAUAGAUGCAAGAAUAAAAGCUGCCUCAACAAAGAGAAUGGGGAAAGGGUGGGACAUACACACGCACGCUGCGGCACCAUCAGCGCUGGUGAAGGGCUGGACCCGGAGCUCUGUUGAGGUUCCUUUCCCUUCCCCAAUGGGAACACUAAGAGGUGUCGAGGGGGGGUAUAUGGAUGGAACAAGCAUACAAGGUACGCCCAGGAUUGCCUCCUAGUUUGCAGUUCAGGGGCUUUCUGAGCCCCGAACGGUGCCUUGCAUGGUGGUACAGGACAGAGGCGGGUUUGCUCCUAAGGAUGCAAAGUGCAGGGGUUGUGUCUGGCUGUUCCUUACCUUUGCUUGGAGUGGACGGCGGUGCUGGGGCUGCUGAUGGCUCAGUACUCUCUGUGACCGGGGCAGAUGUGGUCAGGUUGCCUGUUUCUGUUGAAGGUUUGCGGAAAAAAAAACCCACCAUCAGGAACAAUGACCAAUAACGACCAAACAUGAAUAUCAACCAGAAUUAAAUUUUUCAUUAAAACCAUUGGGAUUUGUCAUUUUGCCAGAAAAAUGUGAAAAUACAGGAAACUUUGUUUCGGAGAAUGAACGUGGACUUAUCACUUGUACCUCUACCUAAGUCUAAACAUUAAAUAAAUAUUUAAAAUUUGGAUUUUUAAGUUUCUCAGCCACCGAACAUGAAGCAAUGAGUUCUUAGCCCUCUAUUAAAACUUCAUUGCGUACGUUUUCCAUGUAGUAUGGCUUUCCCUGAGAUUACUUAGACUCAAAACUGAUUUUGUAACUAUAGCCUCAUCUUUGUAAGCUGUGCUUAGGAUUCCUAGUGUAGAUACUGCCUCAGCCUCUUCAUUUCCUGACGUGGAUACAGAGGAGGAAUACAGGUAUGUUAAAGGGACUGUGAAAGACUUGAGGAAAUACAUUAUUGGAGAAAAACAUCCAUCACUGAUAGCAACUGGAGCUGACGAUUGCUGAUAGGAUUUUGAUCAUGUUCUUGAAGGAAAAGUGAAUUGGAUUUUAGCCUGUAAAAUCUGGUAAUUUGAGUCACGACUUCAAGUAGCUAAUUACUCGGGCAAUGUGAUAUUUUGUUAAUAUUGACAAUAAGGAUCUGGGCAGCAGGUGUGGGGGCUUAGGCAGUGGGCAGUCAAGUGAACUUUCUGCUGGUAGGCAGCUCUACAGAACAGCUGCUGCGUGCUGUGCUUUACACUCUCCCAUCAUUAAUUCCUUGAUGAAAAAGUCCAACAGGAAUGAAUGGGAAAGUACAUAGAACCAGCUUCUGUACUGUGUCAGGUGGUAGCAUCUCCUUCUUUAAAACUGGGAAAGAAUUCUCAAAGAUUAAUCGAGUCUUUGAAGUGAAGAUGUCCCCGUCUGAUUUAAUCACUGAUGCUCUCCACUUCCCAGCCAAAAGCACUGGUAUUUGGGCACUUUUGCUGAUACCUGAGUUCUUACAAAUAGCACAAGCAGCUUAAAGCUCCAAAUUGCUCACAAUUACAUAUCUCCCAAGCUCUGACCACCCAAUAUUUUAGAAAGGAAGGGUUUAGAAGCUGGAUUCUUUCUUCACUGAGAUGAUUUAUUAGCUGUUGAUUAUCUUAUACUUUAUACAGUUAUUGUAAUCCUACCAAUGUAGUCUAUUUUAAACAAAACUAAACACCAGUAUUAUUAAAUUUUAUGUCAUAGUAUCGGUUCUUACCUUCAGCAGCUGUGGAAGAGAUUUCUGGAGCUGAGGUACCACCAUCUCCUGCAAAUGGAGCGGGUGAAAUGGAUGAUCCUGCAGUACUUUCAGGGGCUGUGAGAAGAGGGAAGAAACAUGGAAAUGGGAGGAAAAGAGCAUUUGGGUAAGGCUGAAUGUCUAAAAUCAGUCAUAUCCAUAUAUUCCUGAUAUGUCUUGACAGCCUGAUAUUUUUCAAGUUAAGGUGUUGUAAGGGGGUUGUUCUUUCACAGAGAUGUUUAAUUUGUAGUUGUCUUCCAUGAAUAUUUUACAGAUUUACAUGGUCACAUCUUAAUUCUUCCAAAACCCCCAAAUCAACAGACUAUUUGUUUUAAAUAGCACUUGCAAAAUGGCUGUUCUUACCUUUAUAAGCUGCGGUUGGGAUUUUGGGAGCUGAUGGGACAGUUUUCUCCGUGGCAGCAAUGGAUGCAGAAGGUGUAACUGAGGCUAAGAGAAAGUUGAGGAAAUACAAAGAAGAGGAAAGAUCAGCAGCAAUUAGGAGUGAACAUGUGAAUUGCAGCCUUGAUGAAAAUGACGCUGACAUCCUCAUUGUGUUCACAGUUAUGCCUGUUCCAGCCGCCGUGCCGACAGUCCCAAAGGUAAGAUUCAGUUCCUCUACACACCACGUCAUCCAGGUGGAUGUCUCCUUUGCCAGGGCCGAAGUAAGACUGUCCCAAGACAGAGACAACUUGACCACAAUCAAGUUGUUUGCAUACAACACUGCCACUGUUCACAUCAAAGUUAUCAUCACAGACUGUCCCCCAUUUGCCUUCAUAGUAAACUUCAACCCUCCCGGCACAUCGGUCCCCUCCAGAUACCAGUCGCAGUUGUGGAACCUCUGAAAUUAAAGCAAAUAUUGACAGGUAAACAUCUCAAUUUGUUAAUUCCCAGGAUAUCUAAGCUUCUUAUGCCUAAGCUUGCAUCUGCACCUGUGCCGGGAUGGGCUGCCCAGUGUUACUGGGUCUCCAGUGCCCAGGACUUUCUGGGGAGCACCUGCAGCGCGCGAGGCGGCACAGGGCAGGGAGCUGAACAGCAGAGCCCGAAUCAGUGCAGCUAAUGCAGCCCUGUUAAUUCACCCCUGUUAAUUCAGCCUUGUUAAUUCAGCCCUGUUAAGGUUAAUCCUGCUGCGUACAGGACCCGAUCAAUCACGAUAGGUCGCUGUUGGGAUAACCAGCUCACCCAGAGCUGGCUCAUGUAACCUUACAGGUGUGCCCGGUAUGUUCGCACUCAGGACCAUGUCUCACCUUCUUACCUUUGGAUUUAAAUUUGCUUUUUAUCCAGUCUGAAAAUUUCUUCCAUAGUGAUUUUUGAUCUUUAUCUUCUGAGCCCUCUGGUGAGUUCGACCACGCACCACUUGCUGUGUCAGAUAAAACACAAUAGUAUUGGUGUCACUUGUCACAAUUCUAGGCAUGUUUUAUGUUUUGCUGUGAGAUGGUACCCGCUAUGAGCUGAUACAGAGAUACAGUAAGUGUUGGUAUGUGGUGUGUUUUCAAAGCAGUCCCGUGGUUCCCCCCUCGGUCUGGAAGGACAUGCUCAUUUCCUCAUGGUUCAGUGGAAGUUCUCUUUGGAGGACCUGAUUUCAUGGCAGCACAAAGAGCAAAGGGAUCCUAUCCCAGAAAACCUCGUGUGAGUCAUUCACCUCCAGUGAAGACACGAGCUUCUGGGAGCCGAGCUCUGCUGGAUUCCACCGAGGCAGCAGAAGGGGUUACUCACCUUCACCCCUGGGAUUUCCACAGCUCAGGACCAUUCCUCUGGGCAGACUGUGGCAGUUGUUUUGGCUGACAGCCCAGCGUGUUCACUUAAAUCUUUGCAAAUACCUGCCCAGGUCUGCAUGGGAAGCUCAACUUUAACUCUGCAGUGAAGAAUAUGCUAUACACUGCUUAAGGUAUUUAAAAAUCUAUGUUUGAUUAAAACCGGACCAUGGUAUCGUGGUUCAGACACCAGAGGAUGAAGUGGUCUUCCAAAACAGGACACAAACCUGUGGUCUGAUCGUGCAGUUUUGAUAAUCUGUACUUUUAGUCACAUAAAUACCACCGAAAAUCUACUGGUGUUCACUGGAAGGAAAAGGAUUUAGGCUUCCAGGGGUAAAAGCAAUGUUUUCAAAUGGCAGCUUUAAAAAACAAUACCCUUGGUGUUUCAAAAUUAGCGUGCUCUGAAGAGCUGUCCCUGAUUCAGUCACUAAAAUCAGAAGAAAUUUCAUUUGGGGAUUUUUUUUUCUGUUUUUCAAUUUGGCAUUUGAUCUUCAGACACUCACUUUCACAGACUUUGACUUCAGUGAUACUAUAAUUCUUGGGUUUGUAAGACAUCACCCUAAGUGAUUUUUCCGGUCAAGGUUAAUCCAGCCUACAUCAGGUCAUGUCAAAGACAAAAGUUAACCUGUGGAAUAAGGACAAAGUUUUGCUCUGGGGUUUGACCACCUUCUGGAAAUGCAGCUUAGCCCUCUUUGAUGCUGAAAUUCCCUCUGGGCUGUCUUUACUCUGGUCUUAUAAAUAAUUCAAUAUAGCCAACCCCUUAAUCUAGACUUUAUGAAAUUAUCUCUUCUUGUAAGAGAUUGACAAGACUUUCUUCAUGGUGCCCACUCUGAUAAUUAAAGAUCAAAGUAUCGCAUUCAAGCCAGCAAGAUGAUAAGGAAGGUUUGGGGGUUACUGUCGUUUGAAGUUUGAAGGAACAUGAUGCUGCAGUAAAGUGUAUUUCCACCUGA